UGAGGAAUAUUGGUCAAUGGGCGAGAGCCUGAACCAGCCAAGUAGCGUGCAGGAUGACGGCCCUAUGGGUUGUAAACUGCUUUUAUAUGGGAAUAAAGUGAGGGACGUGUCCCUUAUUGCAUGUACCAUACGAAUAAGGACCGGCUAAUUCCGUGCCAGCAGCCGCGGUAAUACGGAAGGUCCGGGCGUUAUCCGGAUUUAUUGGGUUUAAAGGGAGCGUAGGCUGUUUGUUAAGCGUGUUGUGAAAUGUAGGAGCUCAACUUUUAGAUUGCAGCGCGAACUGGCAGACUUGAGUGCGCACAACGUAGGCGGAAUUCAUGGUGUAGCGGUGAAAUGCUUAGAUAUCAUGACGAACUCCGAUUGCGAAGGCAGCUUACGGGAGCGCAACUGACGCUAAAGCUCGAAGGUGCGGGUAUCGAACAGG
RNAcentral lists this ribosomal RNA (424 nucleotides) under Verrucomicrobiota bacterium. Its description in RNAcentral is "Verrucomicrobia bacterium partial 16S ribosomal RNA". It matches the Rfam family "Bacterial small subunit ribosomal RNA", at positions 355 to 776 of the family's 1533-position model. The record is from RNAcentral. Lineage: Bacteria; Pseudomonadati; Verrucomicrobiota.